CAUAUGCUUGUCUCAAAGAUUAAGCCAUGCAUGUCUCAGUACAAGCCGCAUUAAGGUGAAACCGCGAAAGGCUCAUUAAAUCAGUUAUGGUUCCUUAGAUCGUACCCACAUUUACUUGGAUAACUGUGGUAAUUCUAGAGCUAAUACAUGCAAACAGAGUUCCGACCGGAGACGGGAGGAAUGCUUUUAUUAGAUCAAAACCAAUCGGCGGCGGGCCUCCGGGUCCGUUCGCCGCUCAAUUUGGUGACUCUGAAUAACUUUCGGCUGAUCGCACGGUCUCGCACCGGCGACGCAUCUUUCAAAUGUCUGCCUUAUCAACUGUCGAUGGUAGGUUCUGCGCCUACCAUGGUCGUAACGGGUAACGGGGAAUCAGGGUUCGAUUCCGGAGAGGGAGCCUGAGAAACGGCUACCACAUCCAAGGAAGGCAGCAGGCGCGCAAAUUACCCACUCCCGGCACGGGGAGGUAGUGACGAAAAAUAACGAUACGGGACUCAUCCGAGGCCCCGUAAUCGGAAUGAGUACACUUUAAAUCCUUUAACGAGGAUCAAUUGGAGGGCAAGUCUGGUGCCAGCAGCCGCGGUAAUUCCAGCUCCAAU
This 596-nucleotide ribosomal RNA is filed under the name Rhantus bacchusi. Its description in RNAcentral is "SSU rRNA". It matches the Rfam family "Eukaryotic small subunit ribosomal RNA", at positions 25 to 595 of the family's 1831-position model. Lineage: Eukaryota; Metazoa; Arthropoda; Insecta; Coleoptera; Dytiscidae. The record is from RNAcentral.